This 259-nucleotide long non-coding RNA is filed under the name Cucumis sativus (cucumber). RNAcentral describes it as "long non-coding RNA (CSAT_LNC002418)". Lineage: Eukaryota; Viridiplantae; Streptophyta; Magnoliopsida; Cucurbitales; Cucurbitaceae. The record is from RNAcentral.
AGACUUCCAAAUAGGUUAGGGUUUCAAUAUCGCAAAUAAUUACUUGAACUUUAGAUCAGACAUUUGUGAGUGAUCAAUAAAUCAAAAAAUCUAGAAGAAACAUGAUAAAAAAAGACGUGAUUCUAGUCCUAAACUUGCUUGUGAAGAAGCUUGAGGAUGAAGAAGGUAGAACCAGAACCAAAGAGAGCUCCAACUCCCACCAAUGAGAGAGACUUGAACUUUCCCUCCAUUCUCUCAAGUCCAGCUCUCGCCUUUUCCG